Molecule: unclassified non-coding RNA, 343 nt
Filed under: fungal sp.
Lineage: Eukaryota; Fungi
Description: partial internal transcribed spacer region
Rfam family: Eukaryotic small subunit ribosomal RNA (bases 1-46)
Source: RNAcentral
AAGUCGUAACAAGGUUUCCGUAGGUGAACCUGCGGAAGGAUCAUUAACACGUAUCCACGUUUAUAACCCGAGAAUGUCUUAGGUAGCUUAUUCAAGAAAAGCUUUAUUAAGAUCUCAAAUCCUUUCGGGGCCUUGAGACCCUAGUAAAGUCUGUCCUAUUCUCAGCUUAGCGGUUGAGUUAGGACUAUUGAAUCUGCUCCUUCGAACUCCUUCAGGGACAAAUCUUCGGAGGCGUCCCUGAAGGCUACUUGAAACCCCUUUUUUCUAAACUAAAGGCCGUCUCUUUGUGGACCGCUUUUAACCGAAUGCUGUACAACUCUUAGCAACGGAUAUCUUGGUUCUG